AAUUAGAAAACUAUAAAUUCCGGCGCGGAGUCGGCGUCGGUCUUGCGGUCUUGCAAUUUUCCACCGCCAUUUUGUUCUUGACAGUGAGUGAGGUUACGAAUAUUGCGCGGUGCUGUGAUUUUAUAGCAUAAGUGAGUGAAAUUAAACAAAUAAACAUAAUGGUACCGCAAACGAAAGUGUUCGUCGGUAGCCUGCCGCAGGGCUCCAAGCCGGAGGAGCUCCGUAAACUCUUUGAACGCUUUGGCGUCGUCACAGAAUGCGACAUCAUGAACCGUUGUGGCUUUGUCCACAUGCAAACAGAAGAUCAGGCCUCGGCUGCUAUCAGGGCGUUGAAUAACACCACCUUCAACGGCGGCGUCAUAUCAGUUGAGCGCGGGAGAAUUAAGGAGCGCGGACAGCGCAGCGGCGGCGGUGGCCCCCGCGGCGGCAUGCGAGGGGGAAUGCGAGGCGCCAUGGACCGGCGCGGUGGCGGUGGCGGGCCCAUGCGAGGAGGUCCCGUCGGCGGCCGCGACGCGCCCUACAUGCGAGACCGUCCCAUGGGCAUGCGUGGUGGAGACAUGCGCGGGCCACCGAUGGGCGGCGGUGGCAUGGGCAUGAGGAACGGCAUGGGCGGCGGCGGCUACGACCGCGGCAUGGACCAGCGAACGAUGACCGGCGGGUACGACGACCGCGGCUACAACGGAUACGGGGGCGAGGACCGGCGAGGUUUCGCCCUUAUGGACGGCCGCUCACGCGACCCGUAUGCGGCACCGGCUCCCAUGUACCCAGAUGACAGACGAGGAUAUGGUGCCGCUCCAGUAGAUGAUAUGUCAGGCAUGUAUGCUGACGACAGAAGGCAGCCGAUGUACCCUGAGGAUACAUACGACAGACGAGCACCCAUGCGAGGAGGCCCUAUGCCAAUGUCUUCAGGAUAUGACAGGCCAGCACCAAGAUCUGCUGGUAUGGGCAAUGGUGACAUGUUCAGCAGAAGGACACCUCCACCCAUGCGUGGCGGAGGCGCCGCGGCCGGCUACGACCGGGACCCCUAUGCUCAGCAGUACCCACCCAUGGGACGCGGCGGCGGCGGCGCGGCGCGCGGCGGUAGGGAGCCGGGCGGCCUCCCGCGCCGCUACUAGCGCCGCCUCAAGCGGCUAGGUAGUGUCGUAGGUAGCGCGCGACGUCAACACUAUACAUCCGUUGUCUUCCGGCGGCUCUGAGCUCGGCUCGUACUCGUGCGUGCGUUUGCGAACCGUUCGCGCUCCGCACUCCCGCGACCGACCACGCAGUUAGGUCGAUUAACUAUGGUAAGGCGGCUAGAAUUGUAAGUCUCCAUCCGAAUACAAUUAUGUGAAUCAUUUUAUGAAUUAAUAAAUAAAUGAGGAUAAAUCAUAACGGAACGUUUUCAUUUCACCCGCUGAUCAAUAUGGUCGCGAUAUAUCCGAUAUUGUCUUACGAUUAGUUUUAUAUAAAGAUCGAUUUCAUAAAAUGCUGACAUGAACAUGUUUUAAAUAAUUUAGAAAGUAUUAUUUAUGCUGUAUAAUUUACUUUUAGAUUAAAUAUCUUCAUUGGUAGAACAUUUUUAAUUUAAUCAUCCCUUUUUCGGUACUAAAAAUAUAUCUAAAUAUAUCUUCAAUGCAUGCCUUUCUCAGUGUCCCCUCUGGCUUCUUACUGCUUCUGUGGUUGCGGUCCUUAUGUUAAAUUAUUCUACAUUAUGGUUUUAUUGCAGGACUGAGACACGUGAGGUCUCUCGACCGCAAUAUGUCCGAAUACUUUGAUAACGAGGGCCCGUUCCCAGUAGUGGUUGCCGCCGUCAGCUGCGCCACAGGAACGCCUCACUCUCGUUCCACACGUGGAUUACAGAGCUCUUGCGAUUACUGACAGUUUUAGGAAUAGGGGCGUAGCAAUGUAAGCUAAUAAAAAUAUAUUAAUAUUGAAACGGUGCUAUAUAGUCAAUUAACGCAGUUACAGACUACUUCAAAGUAGGUAGGACGUCCAAAACGUUGAAGUAACGGUGAUAUGCUGAUAAUCUAGUCUUGCGUACUUGCCCAUAAUAGUCACUUCGUAAUAUUUUAAUUGGUUCUAAUUACGUUGUCACCGAUACACAUUCCUACUCUCGCUACGCCCCUAUGGAAGCAAACAGGCGUAAAUACGUUGCGAACACUGGCUCUGUAAUCUGUGCAUCUCUCGAAAUGUUUGUGCCUAACGUUGUGCAAGCGUCGGCUUUCACAAGAAAGCGCGUGCGAGUCCUUUCAGAUAGUUAGGAGCGGCAUAACUCGGCACGACACGAGCGUAGCCGGCGGCGAUGCAUACUCGAUGCUAUGACGUUGCUCCAUGUCACCACGUAUACGUUAGGCGACGGCUGAAGACGGCGAAACGCAAUCGGACUGGUCGCCCGGAUGAAGUCAGCUCCAGUGUGAGGCUAGUGAAGACGGCUCACACAGGAUUAGUGGAAUAAAAGCCCCGAUGGAGGCGCUCUAUAUUAUGUGCAACCCUGAAUAUUUGUAACUGAGAAAUAAAAUACUUUGUGUCGUA
RNAcentral lists this unclassified non-coding RNA (2511 nucleotides) under Pectinophora gossypiella (pink bollworm). RNAcentral describes it as "rNA-binding protein lark". Lineage: Eukaryota; Metazoa; Arthropoda; Insecta; Lepidoptera; Gelechiidae. The record is from RNAcentral.